AACGAACGCUGGCGGCAGGCCUAACACAUGCAAGUCGAGCGGACCUUUCGGGGUCAGCGGCGGACGGGUGAGUAACGCGUGGGAAUAUGCCCUUCUCUACGGAAUAGUCCUGGGAAACUGGGGGUAAUACCGUAUACGCCCUUUGGGGGAAAGAUUUAUCGGGGAAGGAUUAGCCCGCGUUGGAUUAGGUAGUUGGUGGGGUAAUGGCCUACCAAGCCGACGAUCCAUAGCUGGUUUGAGAGGAUGAUCAGCCACACUGGGACUGAGACACGGCCCAGACUCCUACGGGAGGCAGCAGUGGGGAAUCUUAGACAAUGGGGGCAACCCUGAUCUAGCCAUGCCGCGUGAGUGAUGAAGGCCUUAGGGUUGUAAAGCUCUUUCAGCUGGGAAGAUAAUGACGGUACCAGCAGAAGAAGCCCAGGCUAACUCCGU
This 432-nucleotide ribosomal RNA is filed under the name uncultured bacterium. RNAcentral's name for it is "partial 16S ribosomal RNA". It matches the Rfam family "Bacterial small subunit ribosomal RNA", at positions 29 to 506 of the family's 1533-position model. The record is from RNAcentral.